This is a long non-coding RNA of Gossypium raimondii (Peruvian cotton), 639 nucleotides long. RefSeq lists it as uncharacterized. The record is from RefSeq and is a predicted model, not a curated record. Lineage: Eukaryota; Viridiplantae; Streptophyta; Magnoliopsida; Malvales; Malvaceae. The transcript has 2 exons.
UCUGAGAUUGGAUCGGGUCAGUUCUCGGGUCAUGGCUCAAUACGGCACCGUUUUGGAGCCAUUAUAACGGGCUUCAAACGGUGUCGUUUUAUACUUUGCCUAAAACCUAUUCCAAACUCUAGGCAGAUACUCUUCUUCAUUUUCAGGAACGGCUGUCGCAAGAACUGCCUUAACCUUUCCUCUGCACCUUAUGCCGAAACUCUCCCUUUUCAACGUCGAUUUAGACGAAGCGAAUCAGGAUGUCUAUGGCGCCUAUCUUGGUACCCAACCAGCUGGAGCACACGCGUGGAGGAGGAAUAUGCACGCGGCGGCGAUGCACGCGCGAGGCCUAGAUCCAACUGCUGCGGCGCCAGCGAUUCCUGAAAUCCCUAGAAGCUUCUAGGGUAUUUCUCCAGUUUGGGCUAGGUUUCAAUUUGAAUCGGGCCAUGUAAACUGGGUUAGGGUAUUAGUUUUAGGAUUAGGCUUAAUGUAAUAUUGGGUUUAUUGUUAUUGGGCCAUGUAAAUAAACCUUAGAUAUUAGACUUUUUAUUUGGUUUGUAUUUGGUUUCUGAAUGCGGACCCAGGCAAAUUUGGGUAAAUGUUUUUGUAUAUUUUUUUGACUUUUGGAUUGUUAUUUUAUUUUAUUUGGCUUUUUUUUUA